CUGAACCAGCCAAGUAGCGUGAAGGAUGACUGCCCUAUGGGUUGUAAACUUCUUUUAUAUGGGAAUAAAGUUGUCCACGUGUGGAUUUUUGUAUGUACCAUAUGAAUAAGGAUCGGCUAACUCCGUGCCAGCAGCCGCGGUAAUACGGAGGAUCCGAGCGUUAUCCGGAUUUAUUGGGUUUAAAGGGAGCGUAGGCGGAUUGUUAAGUCAGUUGUGAAAGUUUGCGG
This 227-nucleotide ribosomal RNA is filed under the name uncultured bacterium. RNAcentral describes it as "partial 16S ribosomal RNA". It matches the Rfam family "Bacterial small subunit ribosomal RNA", at positions 383 to 607 of the family's 1533-position model. The record is from RNAcentral.